CUGAAAGCAGCUAAGUGUGAAGCCCACCUCAAGAUGAGAUUUCCCAUUUCUUUAAGAAAGUAAGAUUCCUGAGAGAUGAUCAGGUAGAUAGGUCAGGAGUGGAAGUACAGUGAUGUAUGGAGCGGACUGAUACUAAUCGAUCGAGGACUUAACCAAU
RNAcentral lists this ribosomal RNA (157 nucleotides) under Enterococcus faecium. RNAcentral describes it as "partial 23S ribosomal RNA". It matches the Rfam family "Bacterial large subunit ribosomal RNA", at positions 2771 to 2925 of the family's 2925-position model. The record is from RNAcentral. Lineage: Bacteria; Bacillati; Bacillota; Bacilli; Lactobacillales; Enterococcaceae.